AUAAUGAUACUUCCGCCCAGUCACAGCCCCGAAAGGGAUCACGCAAUGAGGGCGGCCGGCAGAGAUCCUGCCCGAGGUGAGAGGCCUAUGG
This 91-nucleotide non-coding RNA is filed under the name unclassified sequences. RNAcentral's name for it is "pemK RNA". It matches the Rfam family "pemK RNA". The record is from RNAcentral.